This 465-nucleotide ribosomal RNA is filed under the name uncultured bacterium. Its description in RNAcentral is "bacterial SSU rRNA". It matches the Rfam family "Bacterial small subunit ribosomal RNA", at positions 338 to 795 of the family's 1533-position model. The record is from RNAcentral.
CCUACGGGUUGCACCAGUGGGGAAUAUUGCACAAUGGGCGCAAGCCUGAUGCAGCCAUGCCGCGUGUGUGAAGAAGGCCUUCGGGUUGUAAAGCACUUUCAGCGGGGAGGAAGGCAUUAAGGUUAAUAACCUUAGUGAUUGACGUUACCCGCAGAAGAAGCACCGGCUAACUCCGUGCCAGCAGCCGCGGUAAUACGGAGGGUGCAAGCGUUAAUCGGAAUUACUGGGCGUAAAGCGCACGCAGGCGGUCUGUCAAGUCGGAUGCGAAAUCCCCGGGCUCAACCUGGGAACUGCAUUCGAAACUGGCAGGCUAGAGUCUUGUAGAGGGGGGUAGAAUUCCAGGCGUAGCGGUGAAAUGCGUAGAGAUCUGGAGGAAUACCGGUGGCGAAGGCGGCCCCCUGGACAAAGACUGACGCUCAGGUGCGAAAGCGUGGGGAGCAAACAGGAUUAGAUACCCUUGUAGUC